RNAcentral lists this ribosomal RNA (2781 nucleotides) under Triticum aestivum (bread wheat). RNAcentral's name for it is "partial small subunit ribosomal RNA". Lineage: Eukaryota; Viridiplantae; Streptophyta; Magnoliopsida; Poales; Poaceae. The record is from RNAcentral.
AUGGCGCCUGUGGUGACCGCCGCACUCGGCGCGCUGGGUCCUCUGCUGGGGAAGCUCGCCGAUUUGCUCGCCAAUGAGUGCGGCCGCCUCAAAAGGGUCCGCCGCGAGAUCCGCUCCCUCCGGACAGAGUUUACCAGCAUGCAUGCUGCUCUACAGAGAUACGCCAUGCUAGAGGACCCUGAUCACCAGGUGAAGCAAUGGGUAUCGCUGGUGAGGGAGUUGGCCUAUGAUACCGAGGAUCUUUUCGACAAGUUCAUUCGCCACCUCGGCAACGGUGAGAGUCAUGAUGGCGGCUUCAAGGAGUACUUCCGCAAGACUGCUCGGCGUCUGAAGACGCUUGGAGCUCGGCAUGGGAUCGCCAGCCAAAUCGACGACCUGAAGCUUCGUAUCAAGGAAGUGAAAGAGCUCAAGACUAGUUACAAGCUGGAUGAUACUGCUUCUAGCACCCAGGGCCAUGCAACCGUGGAUCCCAGGUUGGCCGCUCUUUUUGCGGAGGAGGCACACCUUGUUGGCAUUGACGGUCCAAGAGAUGAUCUUGCCAAGUGGAUGCUGGAAGAAGAAAACAAACAUCAUCGCAGGGUGCUGUCUAUUGUUGGAUUCGGUGGAUUGGGAAAGACAACAUUGGCGAAUGAAGUCUAUCGCAAGAUUCAGGGGCAUUUUGAUUGUCAUGCUAUUGUGUCGGUCUCACAAAAGCCAGAUACAAAGAAAAUCAUCAAUGAUUUGAUCUCGCAGGUGUCUCGCAAGGAUGAAUUCACAAAAGAUAUGGAGAGCUGGGAUGAAAAGAAAUCCAUUGGAAAGCUAAGAGAACUAUUACAAGAUAAAAGGUAUCUUGUCAUCAUUGAUGAUAUAUGGUCUACAUUAGCAUGGAAAGCAAUCAAUUGUGCUUUUCCAGAGAUUAAUUCUUCAAGCAGAAUUAUAACUACAACACGCAUAUUGGAAGUAGCAAGUUUUUGUUGUCCUGCUCGUGAUGACCAGAUCUAUCAAAUGAAACCUCUAAGUGACAUCCACUCUGAAAGACUAUUUUUUAACAGAAUUUUUGGUUCAGAAGAGCGCUGCCCUUAUAUGCUUAUUGAAGUUUCAAAAGCUAUCUUGAAGAAGUGUGGAGGCCUACCAUUGGCAAUUAUCAGUAUUUCUGGUUUACUAGCAAACAGACCACGUGUCAAAGAAGAGUGGGAGAAGGUAAAAAGAUCAAUUGGUUCUGACUUGAACGGAAGCCAAAGUCUAGAAGGAAUGAAGAACAUACUAUCCUUGAGCUAUAAUGAUCUUCCACCAAACCUCAAGACUGUCUUGUUGCACUUAAGUAAUUUCCCCGAGGAUUAUCUGAUUGACAGAGAAAGGUUGGCGAGGCAAUGGAUUGCGGAAGGCUUUAUUUCUGAAGAGCGUGGGAGGAGCUAUCAAGAGGUUGCAGAAAGUUAUUUUUACGAGCUUAUCAAUAAAAGCCUUGUCCAACCAGUGGACAUUGGUUAUGAUGGGAUGGUUCAUGCCUGUCGAGUUCAUGACAUGAUGCUUGAACUUAUCAUUUCAAAAUCCAUUGAAGAAAAUUUCAUCACUGUGGUGAACGGCAGUCAAACUGUUUGGGAAAGUUCUCAAUGUUCUGUUCGACGAUUAUCGAUCCAGGACAUUGACCAGGAGCUUGCAUCUGAAUUGUCAAAGAAAGAUCUAAGGCAUGUCCGAUCUCUUAUAAAAACAUCAUUAGGAUGCAUCAAGCACUUGCCUAGUCUUGCUAAGUUUGAAGCUUUACAUGUACUAGAUUUUGGAGGUUGUCGAGGCCUGACGGAGUAUGAUAUGGAUGGUAUAGAAAACCUGUUCCAGCUAAAGUACCUAAGCUUUAGAAGAACGGACAUAUCGGAGCUACCAUCUGGAAUUGUGAUGCUACAUGAUCUAGAGACGCUAGAUUUAAGGGGUACAUCAAUCGAACACUUACCAGCUACAAUUGUUCAGCUCACUAAACUACAACAUCUACUCUGUGGCAAUCAUUUAUGGAAGAUACCAAUUGGGAUUGGGAAUAUGACAACCUUAAAGGAGAUCUCAGGCUUUGAUAUUACCAUGAGUUCAGUAGGUGCAGUGAAGGAGCUAGGGAGCCUGAUCAAUUUGAAGGUACUCCAUGUACGGUUCACGGUGAAAGAUGAAGAAUCUCAAGAGUACAAGAUUCAUGCAGAGAUGUUUCAUUCCUCACUAUGCAAGCUUGGCAGCCACAAACUGCAGUCCAUGCGGAUAGAUGGUGGUAAUUCGUCUCUAUUCAAGUUAUUAGAUUCCUGGUCUCCUCUUCCAUCUUGCCUCCAAAGAUUUGAGAUGGGAUCCCCGUACAGUUUAUCAAAACUGCCAAAGUGGAUUACUCCAGCGCUCACCAGGCUUGCAUGCCUGAACAUUAAUUUAAGUGUAAUAACAGAGGAGGUUCUUGGCAUACUUGGAGAGCUGCCUGCAUUACUUUCUCUGACACUUUAUACUGACACGGUCCAUAAAGACAGGCUAGUUUUGAAAGGCACAGGAUGCCGAUGUUUGAAGGAGUUCUUUUAUGAACCUUUUGGUGAAGGUGCAGUGACCCUUCUGUUUGAGGAAGGGGCACUGCCAAAGCUCGAGAUGCUUCAGCUGUGUUUUUCUGUAUCAAUGGCAAAGGCCUAUGGAUUCUACUUAGGUAUUGAGCACCUCCCAUAUCUGAAAGAUGUACACGUGAUUCUUGACAAUUGGGAUGCCACAUCUUCUGAAGUUGAGGCUGCAAAAGUUGCCAUAAGAGCAUCUCCAACAGCCGCGCUAAAGCGCCGUGCGCAAAAAACCUGUUAG